Xiphophorus hellerii (green swordtail) is the source of this 992-nucleotide long non-coding RNA. RefSeq lists it as uncharacterized. The record is from RefSeq and is a predicted model, not a curated record. Lineage: Eukaryota; Metazoa; Chordata; Actinopteri; Cyprinodontiformes; Poeciliidae. The transcript has 2 exons.
ACAGAUGUAACCCAUGUUAAAAUCUGACAUAAAUAGGAAUAAAUAGUUGGCUAAAAGUCUGUAGACAGAAAAUAACGUUGCUGUUCCUUUAAGGAACCAGCGUUACAGACGCGGCGCCUGGCUGCAGUACACAGAACUGAGGGAGAGAGCAGAGGAGGAAUCGGAGGGAAAGAGCAGUGAUUAAUUAACAGGAAAAGUUAAUAUUAUAGUAAAAAAAAGCAUAAUUUACCUGGUCGGGAACUGACGGGGAUUUUAUGAGAACUAAGUUACAUAGGUUUUGGUCAGGUUUUUUUGUCCGGUUGGAAGCUCGGUUGGAGCGAGGAUUGGUCUGCCAUGUGCGACGUGCACAUUCACAGACGGGAUUCAAGAUGGCGAGCUAGACCUAGUCCUUCAAUUCAUCUUCUCCAUUGCAUCAGGGAGGGACUCUCCCGCGUGUGGUAAUCCUCUGCCGGAGCAGUAGGAAUAUCAGGAACUAGUUCGAACUGAACUGAACAGAACUGAGAACCGAUUGAAUUAUUAUCUUUUGGACUGAAUAAAACUGAGACUUUUCACUGAACUGAGUACCUGGAUUUACAUUUGGACCUGAACUUGAAUUUAAAGUGCCAUACUUUGAUUUUCAUAUGUUUAUGUCUCUGAAUGUGAUUUGAGUAAUUGUGGUCCACUUUGAUUUAAUUGUGUUUGAAGGUAUUUCCCUACCUGUAAAAGAAAGAAAAAUGAGUUAACUCAGGAGAAAAAUAGAAAUCUUAAAAUAGGUGCAACCUAGGAAAAUGAGACCGGUCUAAUUAACUCAAAUUAGUCUGAUUAAAAUAACCUAGGUGAACUAAAGAACAAAAAUAAAGAGUGAUAUACUUUUUAUUUAUUUUUUUAUUUUUUUCCCUUUUCCUCCCCAUUUAUAUUUACAUCAUUAUUAAGAAUCUGCAGGGUAUUUUUGGUUUCAUGUACUGUAUUUUAUAUGUGUGUUUUGCAUUCAGUAAAUUGCCGGCCUUUUUCAC